GGGGCUGUAGCUCAGUGGUAGAGCACUUGCCUUGCACGUAUGGAACACUGUGUUCCAUUCUCAGCACCA
Molecule: transfer RNA, 69 nt
Filed under: Ictidomys tridecemlineatus (thirteen-lined ground squirrel)
Lineage: Eukaryota; Metazoa; Chordata; Mammalia; Rodentia; Sciuridae
Description: Spermophilus tridecemlineatus (thirteen-lined ground squirrel) tRNA
Rfam family: tRNA
About the family: Transfer RNA (tRNA) molecules are approximately 80 nucleotides in length. Their secondary structure includes four short double-helical elements and three loops (D, anti-codon, and T loops).
Source: Rfam by way of RNAcentral